RNAcentral lists this non-coding RNA (245 nucleotides) under Lachnospiraceae bacterium. Its description in RNAcentral is "T-box sequence". It matches the Rfam family "T-box leader". From Rfam's summary of the family: Uncharged tRNA acts as the effector for transcription antitermination of genes in the T-box leader family. T-boxes are found upstream of many aminoacyl-tRNA synthetase genes and some amino acid biosynthetic genes usually in Gram-positive bacteria. Lineage: Bacteria; Bacillati; Bacillota; Clostridia; Lachnospirales; Lachnospiraceae. The record is from RNAcentral.
UCAAAGGCGUUGAACGUGUCAGUAGAGAACUAUUUUCUAACAGAGAGAGGGAAUCAUCGGCUGGAAGUUUCCUUUAGUUCAGAUAGGGAUCGAAUUUCCCACGGGAGCUGCAUUUUGGAAAGGAUUCUAGGUGAUUGAUGCCCGGAACUUAGUAGAAGAUGACGUAUCUGCACGUUACGCAGUCCGAGAGCCUGACUUUUAUGAGCAGGAAUUAGGGUGGUACCGCGAUAGACCUCGUCCCUUUU